UUAAGAGCUUGCUCUUAUGAAGUUAGCGGCGGACGGGUGAGUAACACGUGGGUAACCUGCCCAUAAGACUGGGAUAACUCCGGGAAACCGGGGCUAAUACCGGAUAACAUUUUGAACCGCAUGGUUCGAAAUUGAAAGGCGGCUUCGGCUGUCACUUAUGGAUGGACCCGCGUCGCAUUAGCUAGUUGGUGAGGUAACGGCUCACCAAGGCAACGAUGCGUAGCCGACCUGAGAGGGUGAUCGGCCACACUGGGACUGAGACACGGCCCAGACUCCUACGGGAGGCAGCAGUAGGGAAUCUUCCGCAAUGGACGAAAGUCUGACGGAGCAACGCCGCGUGAGUGAUGAAGGCUUUCGGGUCGUAAAACUCUGUUGUUAGGGAAGAACAAGUGCUAGUUGAAUAAGCUGGCACCUUGACGGUACCUAACCAGAAAGCCACGGCUAACUACGUGCCAGCAGCCGCGGUAAUACGUAGGUGGCAAGCGUUAUCCGGAAUUAUUGGGCGUAAAGCGCGCGCAGGUGGUUUCUUA
This 530-nucleotide ribosomal RNA is filed under the name Bacillus cereus. Its description in RNAcentral is "bacterial SSU rRNA". It matches the Rfam family "Bacterial small subunit ribosomal RNA", at positions 72 to 585 of the family's 1533-position model. The record is from RNAcentral. Lineage: Bacteria; Bacillati; Bacillota; Bacilli; Caryophanales; Bacillaceae.